This 363-nucleotide ribosomal RNA is filed under the name uncultured Micrococcaceae bacterium. Its description in RNAcentral is "bacterial SSU rRNA". It matches the Rfam family "Bacterial small subunit ribosomal RNA", at positions 406 to 780 of the family's 1533-position model. The record is from RNAcentral. Lineage: Bacteria; Bacillati; Actinomycetota; Actinomycetes; Micrococcales; Micrococcaceae.
GGAUGACGGCCUUCGGGUUGAAACCUCUGUUCAGUAGGGAAGAAGCGAAAGUGACGGUACCGUGCAGAAGACGCGCCGGCUAACUACGUGACAGCAGCCGCGGUAAUACGUAGGGCGCAUGCGUUAUCCGGAAUUAUCGGGCGUAAAGAGCUCGUAGGCGGUUUGUCGCGUCUGCCGUGAAAGUCCUGGGCUCAACUCCGGAUCUGCGGUGGGUACGGGCAGACUAGAGUGAUGUAGGGGAGACUGGAAUUCCUGGUGUAGAGGUGAAAUGCGCAGAUGUCAGGAGGAACACCGAUGGCGAAGGCAGGUCUCUGGGCAUUAACUGACGCUGAUGAGCGAAAGCGUGGGGAGCGAACAGGAUUA